RNAcentral lists this transfer RNA (65 nucleotides) under Dipodomys ordii (Ord's kangaroo rat). It matches the Rfam family "tRNA". From Rfam's summary of the family: Transfer RNA (tRNA) molecules are approximately 80 nucleotides in length. Their secondary structure includes four short double-helical elements and three loops (D, anti-codon, and T loops). The record is from Rfam by way of RNAcentral. Lineage: Eukaryota; Metazoa; Chordata; Mammalia; Rodentia; Heteromyidae.
GGUGGCUCAAUGGUAGAGUGCUUGCCUUGCAUGCAUGAGACCCUGGGUUCUAUUCCUCGGCACCA